GAUGAACGCUGGCGGCGUGCUUAACACAUGCAAGUCGAACGGAAAGGCCCAAUCUUUCUUGGAUGCUCGAGUGGCGAACGGGUGAGUAUCACGUGGGUGAUCUGCCCUGCUCUUUGGGAUACGCCUGGUAAACUGGGUCUAUUACCGGGUAUGACCAUCUUUUAGUGUCGUUGUUGGAUUGUUUUUCGGUGUGGGAUGAGCUCGCGGCAUAUCAGCUUGUUGUUGGGGUAAUGGACUACCAAGGCGUCGGCGGGUAGCCGGCCUGGGAGGGUGUACGGCCACAAAGGGACUGAGGAAGGGGCCAGACGGAAACGGGAGGCAGCAGUGAGGAAUAGUGCACAAUGGGCGGAAGCAUGAUGCAGCGAUGUCGGGUGGGGGAUGACGGUCGUCGGGUAGUAAACUCCGUGAGCGAAGGAAGAAGCGUUAGGGGACGGUACUUGGAGAAGAAGCACCGGCUAACUACGUG
RNAcentral lists this ribosomal RNA (466 nucleotides) under uncultured bacterium. RNAcentral's name for it is "partial 16S ribosomal RNA". It matches the Rfam family "Bacterial small subunit ribosomal RNA", at positions 28 to 507 of the family's 1533-position model. The record is from RNAcentral.